RNAcentral lists this ribosomal RNA (253 nucleotides) under uncultured bacterium. Its description in RNAcentral is "partial 16S ribosomal RNA". It matches the Rfam family "Bacterial small subunit ribosomal RNA", at positions 524 to 776 of the family's 1533-position model. The record is from RNAcentral.
UACAGAGGGUGCGAGCGUUGUCCGGAAUCACUGGGCGUAAAGGGCGCGUAGGUGGCGACCCAAGUCGAUGGUGAAAGCUCGCCGCUCAACGGCGAGUCGGCCACCGAUACUGGGUUGCUCGAGCACUGUAGAGGCUAAUGGAAUUCCGGGUGUAGCGGUGGAAUGCGUAGAGAUCCGGAAGAACACCGGUGGCGAAGACGGUUAGCUGGGCAGUUGCUGACACUGAGGCGCGACAGCGUGGGGAGCAAACAGG